Molecule: long non-coding RNA, 257 nt
Organism: Ixodes scapularis (black-legged tick)
Lineage: Eukaryota; Metazoa; Arthropoda; Arachnida; Ixodida; Ixodidae
Exons: 3
Source: RefSeq, a predicted model, not a curated record
CGAAGACCCUGACGAAACAGGGGAGUCCAGUGGGGAGGGCUAUGACUCCAGUGAUGACUACGACCCUUUUGAGGGUUGUGAAGACAGACAGGAAGAACAGGUAUCUGAAGCCAUCAUCCGUUCCGUCGGAGAACCUUCCAAAAGGCUCACACGAUCGUGUGGUGAAGACCCGGAAGCCGCCUAAAGGUGACAGAGAGAACCCAUCCCUCGAUGAGUACAGCCCCAGCACUCUCAGCCAGGUUGACCAUGAAAGCUGC